RNAcentral lists this ribosomal RNA (200 nucleotides) under uncultured bacterium. RNAcentral's name for it is "partial 16S ribosomal RNA". It matches the Rfam family "Bacterial small subunit ribosomal RNA", at positions 32 to 223 of the family's 1533-position model. The record is from RNAcentral.
AAUCAACGCUGGCGGCGUGCUUCAGACAUGCAAGUCGAACGCGAAAGUUUCCUUCGGGAAGCGAGUAGAGUGGCGCACGGGUGAGUAACACGUAAGUAAUCUACCUUUGGGUGGGGAAUAACUCAGGGAAACUUGAGCUAAUACCGCAUAAUGCAGCGGCUCCUUAUGGAGACGGUUGUUAAAGAAUUUAUUCGCCUAAA